GACGAACGCUGGCGGCAUGCCUAAUACAUGCAAGUCGAGCGAACGGAUGAAGUGCUUGCACUUCUGACGUUAGCGGCGAACGGGUGAGUAACACGUAAGGAAUCUACCUAUAAGCGGGGGAUAACAUUCGGAAACGGGUGCUAAUACCGCAUAAUAUCUUCUUCCGCAUGGAAGAAGAUUGAAAGACGGCUCUGCUGUCACUUAUAGAUGACCUUGCGGUGCAUUAGUUAGUUGGUGGGGUAAUGGCCUACCAAGACGAUGAUGCAUAGCCGAGCUGAGAGGGUGAUCGGCCACAUUGGGACGGAGACACGGCCCAAACUCCUACGGGAGGCAGCAGUAGGGAAUCUUCCGCAAUGGGCGAAAGCCUGACGGAGCAAUGCCGCGUGAGUGAAGAAGGCCUUCGGGUCGUAAAACUCUGUUAUAAGAGAAGAACAAAUUGUAGAGUAACUGCUACAGUCUUGACGGUAUCUUAUCAGAAAGCCACGGCUAACUACGUGCCAGCCGCCGCGGUAA
Molecule: ribosomal RNA, 513 nt
Filed under: uncultured bacterium
Lineage: Bacteria
Description: partial 16S ribosomal RNA
Rfam family: Bacterial small subunit ribosomal RNA
Source: RNAcentral